This 488-nucleotide ribosomal RNA is filed under the name uncultured bacterium. RNAcentral's name for it is "bacterial SSU rRNA". It matches the Rfam family "Bacterial small subunit ribosomal RNA", at positions 29 to 492 of the family's 1533-position model. The record is from RNAcentral.
AACUAACGCUGGCGGCGUGCCUAACACAUGCAAGUCGUACGAGAAAGUUGGCUUCGGCCGAUGAGUACAGUGGCGCACGGGUGAGUAACGCGUGGAUAAUCUGCCCUUAAGUGUGGAAUAACGUACCGAAAGGUGCGCUAAUACCGCAUAAUGCCUGGCAACAUAAGUUGUCCGGCCAAAGAAGGCCUCUGCUUGCAAGCUUUCGCUAAAGGAUGAGUCCGCGUACCAUUAGCUAGUUGGUGGGGUAACGGCCUACCAAGGCGACGAUGGUUAGCUGGUCUGAGAGGAUGAUCAGCCACACUGGAACUGAGACACGGUCCAGACUCCUACGGGAGGCAGCAGUGAGGAAUAUUGCGCAAUGGGGGCAACCCUGACGCAGCAACGCCGCGUGAGUGAGGAAGGUUUUCGGACUGUAAAGCUCUGUCGAGCGGGAAGAAGUGUACCAUGGCUAAUAUCCAUGAUAUUUGACGGUACCGCGUAGAGGAACG